This 700-nucleotide long non-coding RNA is filed under the name Panax ginseng (ginseng). RNAcentral's name for it is "long non-coding RNA (PGIN_LNC017461)". Lineage: Eukaryota; Viridiplantae; Streptophyta; Magnoliopsida; Apiales; Araliaceae. The record is from RNAcentral.
AGAACAAUUGUCAAAGGAAGUCGAUUAUCUCCUCCGUAGUGGAUGGGUUCCUUGCUUGGAAUUCGAGUUGGAGGUCAUUUUUAAAUAUUUAAAAUUAAAUUAAAUUCCUAUAUAUAUAUAUAUAUAUAUAUAUUGUAAUUAAGUUUUUAAAGUACGUAAUGUUUGAAUAUUAUUCCAUGUAGCACGGAUUCGUGUACCGUGAGCACCACCACUCACCGGGGUACUAUGACGGACGUUACUGGACAAUGUGGAAGCUGCCCAUGUUUGGAUGCACUGAUUCAUCUCAGGUGUUGAAAGAAGUAGAGGAGUGCAAGAAGGAGUACCCAAAUGCAUACAUCCGAAUUAUUGGAUUCGACAACGUCCGUCAAGUGCAGUGCAUCAGUUUCAUUGCCUUCAAGCCACCUUCUGCCUCUACCUAAUUAAUUAAUUAAGCAAGCUACAUUUAUUUAUUUCUGUAUCUUAAUUAAUUUCUCCUCCAUUUUUCCCAUCCAAUUGCAAAUUUACUGUUUUGAAUUCCUUUUCCUUUCCUGUCUGCUUCGAUUUCUGUUUGCGGAUUUCGAAUGACAAUCAUGUAUGAUGAGGAGAUUAUCAAGUAAUAAAAAUUUCUACGUCCAGAUAUAUAGAGGAAUCUCAACCAUGCAUACAUCUAAAUCUAAGUACUUGAGAUUUCCAUGCCAAUGAAUAUUUAUAUUUAGAGAGA